AUGGGUAUUCGAGGGAACUUUCUAGGGUUCGUCUUCCCAGAAGGAGUCCUCGAAAACAUUCUUCAAGAUCCCAGGGAAAAUGGACCCUGGGAAGUUCCUCCAGAAGGAUCUUCCCCGAAAAGAAUUUCCUCGGCAAGAGCCCCCGGUGAAUCCAUUCCCGACAAGGAGACUCCGGGAAGGAUCGAGAGUGAAGCCAUUCCCGACAAACAAUUCUGGGAAGGCCCGAGAGCAGGACAGUUCCCCGUGACAACGUGGCGGCCGGAACCACCAUCAAAUAAGAAGUGCCUCCCUAUCCCAACAUUCCAGGUACCAUUUUUGUCGAGGGGAUGA
This 330-nucleotide ribosomal RNA is filed under the name Triticum aestivum (bread wheat). RNAcentral describes it as "partial small subunit ribosomal RNA". The record is from RNAcentral. Lineage: Eukaryota; Viridiplantae; Streptophyta; Magnoliopsida; Poales; Poaceae.